UCCGAAGUUAAGCAUCAUUGGGCGCAGUCAGUACUUGGGUGGGUGACCACCUGGGAACACUGCGUGCCGUU
Molecule: ribosomal RNA, 71 nt
Filed under: Caerostris darwini
Lineage: Eukaryota; Metazoa; Arthropoda; Arachnida; Araneae; Araneidae
Source: RNAcentral